RNAcentral lists this long non-coding RNA (1617 nucleotides) under Gallus gallus (chicken). RNAcentral describes it as "lncRNA (ENSGALG00010007682.1)". Lineage: Eukaryota; Metazoa; Chordata; Aves; Galliformes; Phasianidae. The record is from RNAcentral.
CAUAAAGCAAAUCCAUCCUUGUUCUCAGCAAGCAAUCAACUCCAGUCGACCUUUCUCCCAGUACGUCUGAUAGGAGCUACCACAGCUUUCAAGUCCUUUGGCCAUUAAAUUAGUACCCAUGCUGAAUGGUUACUUGUUUUUAUUACUCUCAGUUGGUGGCUGGUGGGACCAUCCAUACACCUGCCUCGCCCAAAACUCACGCAAGUGUAAGCAUGACAUGGUGGGACACGUUGCACUGUGAUGGCAAAGUUUGACUAGAUGUUUCAGAAGGUCCACCUAUGUCCUAAAUUCCUAUAAAGAGUGUUCAAUUGCAUUCCCUGGCUGAUGAGUAUGUUGACAGCAGGGAAGAGACAGGUUGCUACCUGCUGCGGUCUGGUCUCUACUAGCUCCCAUGCUUCUGGACACUGAAGAUAUGGAGGGGAAACCUCCAGCAGAUGACAACAGCAGAUGUCUUGCACAGAGGGGGAAUGUGUAGUGUCAGAUGAGUAAAAGUGAGGGAUCCAUCACAAGCAGCACAAUGCUUCUGACUGAGAUAACUCAAAAUGGAGAUAAACAGCUGAAUUACUAAGUCCGUGCAGAAAAUGAGAGUACUUUGGAGGAGGCAAUGCCAAGAGCAUGUUUGGUUCUGAAGCUAUUUUGCAAUGGGUGCAUCCAAGGCUGGUUUCAUACCAGAAGUCCAAGUAAUACUAUUUGGUAAGUGUUAACUCUGUGACCAGCGUACAUGAUCCAGCAGCAAGAAGAAAAACAAAGACAUGAUGGGGCUCUGCAGCCAUUUAAGCAUGACUUUGGUAAACAAAGCUGGUUUAAUACUCGCAGGAGCCUCAGGCAGGGGCUAAGGCACUGGCUCCUCCCUCCACCCACCUGCACACUGGAUGACUUGUACAAAACUUAGCCCAGUGGGAGCCCCAGCAUUUAACCUGGUCCCCCUGCAUUUAUCACCCACCACCCUCCUUCCACAAGACCAAACCAACAUGCUUGGCUGUGCUUGUAAAGACAGCUGGACCAUCAACUGGGGUGAACUGAAAAUUAGGAAUCAGACAGGCAUCCCAAGAUCUGUAACUUGUUAAAAUCCCAGGGAACAUUUUCCAGCAAGCUGGUAGAGUGUGGCCUUGCCAACACGGGCACCUGGGUGUGGGAAGAAUGUUGGCAGGGCAAUGAACUCAUUAAGGUGGAGCUCUGUCACCACCUCCUGAAGGAAUCUGAGAUGAGCCCAUCACACCGCUGUACCCUUGUGCAACUGAGUGUAGGAAGGAUCAGUCACUGGAGCUCGGCGCUGCCCUGCUCUACACGCUGAAGUCAACGCCACCAGGAGAAAUAAGAGCCCUUUCCAUGAAAAUAAGGCUUUGAUGUGAGGCCAGCUAGGCUCCAAAUCAGCCAGUGAGAAGAGGGAUGGAUUCGUGUUGGAAAACUUCUUGGAAGAGGGUCGGCCACAAAAUGCAAAGCUAAGGGACUUGUCUGGUUCAGUAGCACUGCAGAUGGUUUCCAGUACUUAAACCCCAAUGAAAACACAAGUGCAGAGAAAGGUUCAACUGAGGAGCAGGUCCAAGGACAGAUCCUGCAUGGAAGAAGCUCCCAAUAGCCCUGAUGUUUAGAGCACUGGGUGUUAACAGAGUGAUG